UGGGGAAUAUUGCACAAUGGGCGCAAGCCUGAUGCAGCAACGCCGCGUGAGGGACGACGGCCUUCGGGUUGUAAACCUCUUUUAGUAGGGAAGAAGCGAAAGUGACGGUACCUGCAGAAAAAGCACCGGCUAACUACGUGCCAGCAGCCGCGGUAAUACGUAGGGUGCGAGCGUUGUCCGGAAUUAUUGGGCGUAAAGAGCUCGUAGGCGGUCUGUCGCGUCUGCUGUGAAAACCCGAGGCUCAACCUCGGGCCUGCAGUGGGUACGGGCAGACUAGAGUGCGGUAGGGGAGAAUGGAAUUCCUGGUGUAGCGGUGGAAUGCGCAGAUAUCAGGAGGAACACCGAUGGCGAAGGCAGUUCUCUGGGCCGUAACUGACGCUGAGGAGCGAAAGCGUGGGGAGCGAACAGGAUUAGAUACCCUGGUAGUCCACGCCGUAAACGUUGGGCGCUAGAUGUGGGGACCAUUCCACGGUUUCCGUGUCGCAGCUAACGCAUUAAGCGCCCCGCCUGGGGAGUACGGCCGCAAGGCUAAAACUCAAAUGAA
RNAcentral lists this ribosomal RNA (544 nucleotides) under uncultured bacterium. RNAcentral describes it as "partial 16S ribosomal RNA". It matches the Rfam family "Bacterial small subunit ribosomal RNA", at positions 355 to 909 of the family's 1533-position model. The record is from RNAcentral.